UUCCUCCCUGCCGACAUCCAUUCAUUUCUCUUCUCGCUCUCCACCCAUUUCUUUCACUUCACUCCUCUUCUUAAUGGAUAAAAAACGAAAGCUCUUUCAACCUUUUUUCUUUCGAGAGUGAAAAUAACCAAUUCAAAUAGGUAGCCAUUGCCCUCACUUGCGUCAUAGUUAAUCAUCACAAGUUUCAUCGCGGGUGGAGGCGGGACACAGAUCUAGUUCAGCAUUGGGGAUUUGGUGCAAAUCUAGUGUCGAAGAUAAAGGGGAGGACACAGAUCUAGGUUCAGGGUUGGGGGUUUGGUGCAGAUCUAGUACCAACAAUAAAGGGAACCAUAGCUCCAUCAACGACGGUGGACACUGUAGAAGGGAGGUGGAAUUCGACUUUGAUGAAGAUAAAGAUGAAGAUGAAGCAAGGGUACAAGUGUCAUUUACAACAAUGAAAUCCCCAUUGUGUAAGUCCAUUGACGUAAUCCUGAUUACAAUAUAUGAGGUAAUCCUAAAGUCAUCAUGUAAUCCUCAUUACUUAGCAUUGUCCAACCAAAUACCACAGAUGGAGGGAAUGUAUCAGGAUUACUUGUAAUCUUGAUGCAGGGAAACGAACCAAACGGGCUAUUAGGAAAACGUGGUUCAUUUCUAAAGCAUGAGGUUCCAAUACAUUGGAAGGGCUCCUGCUUCACUGUCGAACCACUUCACAGUCUUAGCGCUAUGGUUUGAAAUAGCUGUUCUUGUUUUCUCUCUUCCACCUGUCACAGAAAAUGAGGCCCACUGGAUAAUCUCUAGUGGAAAUUUGUGUAUACUUAACGUCAGGUAAUAGAUGCUUCGAAGUAAUUAAUUGAAAGACAAAAAUAUUACAUGAAAUAAUUUGAGGUACCGGUGCUCUCAAAGAAAAUGGCUUUUGCCUGAUUUUCAGUUGCGAGCGCAGCCGCUGAAUUGAAUAAAAGGUGCCACUUGAACUUAAGAGCAAAACCAAAGGAGGAAAAAAAAAAAAAAAAGAAUGAGAUGGAAAAAUCGCUAUCCAAGCUACUUCCAUAUCUCAACAAAGCUUUAAGGCUUAACUCAUCCUCAGUUUCAUCAAUCAGCUAAAAACCCCUAAUUUAUUAACAUGAUUCAGAUUAAGCGAAGGAAAAAUUAGACAAUAGUUUCAACUAAUAAUAGAGAUGCAACCCCAAAAAAAAAAAAUGAAAUACAUUUCCUUCAACAUUUAGUCAACCAUCCACCCAAACCCGUUCCUUGUUCAAAAGUGCAGCAGCAGAAAUAGAAGAGAGCAGUCCAUCCCCAUUGAUCCACACACACACACACACACACACACCACAUUUCAUGGCGUACGGCAGGGAGGAAGAAAAGAGGAGCAUUGGUAACAGAGACGAAGAUCGAAGAGGGUGAGCAACUCUGAAGUCGAGUUCUGGACGUUGAGGGUGGUGGGUGACGUGGAAGAAUUCGAGGUCGGAAAUGGAGGAGCGGCGAGUUGGGGAGGGGAGAGUAAAAUAAAAUAACGACAGCCACGUGGAAGACAAUUACCUGGGCCCCACGCAUGACGGAAAAAGUGAAGAAAACUUACUGCAUUGUGGAAGCAGCACUCGAAUUAAAAUUCAGAAAAAUUAGUUUUGAGACAAAAAAAUAUGAAGGAAUGGCGUCGCCCAGACUUGAACUGGAGACCUUCAGUGUGUUAGACUGACGUGAUAACCAACUACACCACGACACCUUUGUCGAUGUGAUUCCUAUUGGCUUUGUUCCCAUCCUGAUUCAGGGGCAGUGUAUCGAGCUGAUCACUUUAUUUUCGAGGGCACAUGGCUUGUAUUUUACUCUCGGUGAGACCCAGACAACUUAGAAUUACUCGAGCUUCAUCAAAGCAAAGUUGAGCUACUUUCAUUUGAGUUAAGGAACAUUCCUUCAUUUCUUCUUCUUAAGAGCAGCCAACAAAUAAUACAUCAGAUAUCUCCCAACGUCAUCUAUCCACAUGAAGCCUGCUUGAUUGGGCCCUCACAUUAUGAUUCAUAUUUUAGGAGAAAAAAAACUCGUCCUCACGCUUCACAGAAUGUCUCCUGGCACUUGUUAAUCACUUGUGCUUGGUUCAAGUUAGCUUCAGCGAAGAUAAUUAAAUUAUCCGCAAACAUCUUUGGCUAGAUAUGAUAAGCUCAAAUCAAUCUUUGAUCUAUACAGUCAUCUUUAUUUUUA
This is a long non-coding RNA of Prosopis cineraria, 2172 nucleotides long. RefSeq lists it as uncharacterized. The transcript is spliced from 2 exons. The record is from RefSeq and is a predicted model, not a curated record. NCBI's taxonomy places the organism in Eukaryota, Viridiplantae, Streptophyta, Magnoliopsida, Fabales, Fabaceae.